This 885-nucleotide ribosomal RNA is filed under the name Physunio superbus. Its description in RNAcentral is "12S ribosomal RNA". Lineage: Eukaryota; Metazoa; Mollusca; Bivalvia; Unionida; Unionidae. The record is from RNAcentral.
AGAACACUUCGCUCUGAUGUGAAGUUGGCUAUCACUUACAAACUUCAUAUGGUAAUACACACAUGCAUUGCGAAAAUGGUUUACCAAAUUCCCCCACCUAGAUAUUUACCUAAUAGGUAAAACUUCUAGACCUAAACCUCCAGUGUCACAACUAAAAGACUCAAGUCAGCAACACCAAUGAAUUAUUUUGCAACUUUAAAGCUAGGAAACUAGGCUGCAGAUAAAGUGAAUCAGAAAUGACCAACGUGGGUGCCAGCAGCCGCGGUUAAACCCCGACUUCAAGUCAACUUUUCCUCUAAUAGUACGUUACAUACAUACAAAUCUGAUUUUAAACAAAUUAAUCUAAGUAGAAUUUUUUUCCUUUGCACACCCCAAUAAAUCAUUGGAGUAAUGUGCUAACAAACCACAAAAAUAAAACAUGGAUUAGAGACCCAUCUAUUAAGUGGCCCAACUCAAUAAAGACUAAAAACGAAAGUUUAAAACUUAAAGAGCGUGGCGGUAUUCUACACCACAUUAGGGGAUCCUGUGGCUUAAUUUGAUAAUCCACGAACACCAAAGCUUUGUUUGUUAAAAAAAUCCAGCUUACGUAUGGCCGCAUUAAGUCUGCACAUAAACGGGACAAAAGGAGACACCCUCAAGACUACACCAGUCUUCAUAAUACAGGUGACACAUAGCCAAUACAAAGCAGCUCAUGGGAUACAAAUAAACAACAUUAACCUAAGAAACUACUAAACCUUUUCUCAAGGGAGGACUUAAGAGUAAGACUGUAACAUAAUCUCAGCCUGAAUAAGAAAUAGAAUGCGUACAAAUCGCCCGUCACUCCCGGCGACUCCAGUUGGGAUAAGUCGUAACACAGUAGGGGCAGCGGAAGCUGCCCCUAUUCCA